GAAACCGGGGCUAAUACCGGAUGCUUGAUUGAACCGCAUGGUUCAAUUAUAAAAGGUGGCUUUUAGCUACCACUUACAGAUGGACCCGCGGCGCAUUAGCUAGUUGGUGAGGUAACGGCUCACCAAGGCAACGAUGCGUAGCCGACCUGAGAGGGUGAUCGGCCACACUGGGACUGAGACACGGCCCAGACUCCUACGGGAGGCAGCAGUAGGGAAUCUUCCGCAAUGGACGAAAGUCUGACGGAGCAACGCCGCGUGAGUGAUGAAGGUUUUCGGAUCGUAAAACUCUGUUGUUAGGGAAGAACAAGUACCGUUCGAAUAGGGCGGUACCUUGACGGUACCUAACCAGAAAGCCACGGCUAACUACGUGCCAGCAGCCGCGGUAAUACGUAGGUGGCAAGCGUUGUCCGGAAUUAUUGGGCGUAAAGCGCGCGCAGGCGGUUUCUUAAGUCUGAUGUGAAAGCCCCCGGCUCAACCGGGGAGGGUCAUUGGAAACUGGGGAACUUGAGUGCAGAAGAGGAGAGUGGAAUUCCACGUGUAGCGGUGAAAUGCGUAGAGAUGUGGAGGAACACCAGUGGCGAAGGCGACUCUCUGGUCUGU
RNAcentral lists this ribosomal RNA (600 nucleotides) under Bacillus paralicheniformis. RNAcentral describes it as "bacterial SSU rRNA". It matches the Rfam family "Bacterial small subunit ribosomal RNA", at positions 153 to 737 of the family's 1533-position model. The record is from RNAcentral. Lineage: Bacteria; Bacillati; Bacillota; Bacilli; Caryophanales; Bacillaceae.